RNAcentral lists this ribosomal RNA (472 nucleotides) under uncultured bacterium. Its description in RNAcentral is "partial 16S ribosomal RNA". It matches the Rfam family "Bacterial small subunit ribosomal RNA", at positions 28 to 507 of the family's 1533-position model. The record is from RNAcentral.
GACGAACGCUGGCGGCGUGCUUAACACAUGCAAGUCGAACGCUGAAGCUUGGUGCUUGCACUGGGUGGAUGAGUGGCGAACGGGUGAGUAAUAAGUGAGUAACCUGCCCUUGACUCUGGGAUAAGCCUGGGAACCUGGGUCUAAUACUGGAUACGGCAUGUCACCGCAUGGUGGUGUGUGGAAAGGGUUUUACUGGUUUUGGAUGGGCUCACGGCCUAUCAGCUUGUUGGUGGGGUAAUGGCUCACCAAGGCGACGACGGGUAGCCGGCCUGAGAGGGUGACCGGCCACACUGGGACUGAGACACGGCCCAGACUCCUACGGGAGGCAGCAGUGGGGAAUAUUGCACAAUGGGCGGAAGCCUGAUGCAGCGACGCCGCGUGAGGGAUGACGGCCUUCGGGUUGUAAACCUCUUUCAGCACGGAAGAAGCGAAAGUGACGGUACGUGCAGAAGAAGCGCCGGCUAACUACGUG